Non-coding RNA from Peromyscus maniculatus bairdii (prairie deer mouse), 1119 nucleotides. Lineage: Eukaryota; Metazoa; Chordata; Mammalia; Rodentia; Cricetidae. The record is from RefSeq and is a predicted model, not a curated record.
UGGGGGGGUCACACGAUACACCACUCAGGGUCACCCCCAGGACGUCGUUCUCCUCGGUGGGUCCCGGGGAUCGAACUCAGGUUGUUGGACUUGGCAGCAAGCACCCUUACUCAUUGAGUGCUCUCGCCGGCCCUCCAAUCUUUUGACUCAGGGGCUCUGAGCCUUGAGCCAGGCUCCUGCCUUGGCCUCCAUAACUCUGGGGUUCCAUGUGGCUGCCAUACCAGAUUUUUACGUGGGUGUUGGGGAUCCAAACUCAGGCUCCCGGACCUCUGCUUCUGAGGGAGGGUGUCAUUGCCACCUCAGCUGGCCUCGUGGCAAUCCCGCCGGAGUGAAGGUCUGCACCACCGCACUGGCUAUAGUGGCUUGUAGGCUGGGCAUGGCGGAGGAAGUAAGAUCAGUUCUGGGUCAUCCUUGGCCACACAGUGAGUUUGGGGCCAGCCUGGGCUACAUGAAACCUUGUUUCAAAACUAAAUAGCAAAGGAGUUGUAAGUCACUGCCCUCCGUGGCAUCCACAGGUGUCUGUGCUGGGCCGGGCAUGUGGGGGCUGGUGACACAGUCAGUUCCAGCCCUGACUUGGGUGGCACUUGGACGGACCUCCCCUGAACCCUGGGAGGGAAGGGCAGCAGGAGGGGUGGCCCCUCCCACCCCUGCAGUGCUGAGUUAGGGAAGACUGCCCUCGGGGGGGCUGUGCCCGUCACAAUGGGGGGCUCCUGGCACAGAGUGGGUGCAGGCCAGGGGCUCAGCUCAGCACCUCUGAGAACGAAUCCGCCCUGGAUAUGGGCAACUGAGGCUGAGCUCAGAGGCCCGCGGGGGCUGCCGGCAUCCUCCUCCGGUCUCCAUGGAAACAGUCUGAGGACCAGCCUCAGCAUCUCCCAGCCUCCCUGCUGCUCGGAGGCUCUUACCAUGUAGCCCGAGCUAGCCCAGAUCUCCAGCUCCACCCGCCUCAGUCUCCCCAGUGCACCCGGCAGCGGGGGCCGAUCUCAUGGCUGUCGGUGACGGACACAUUAAGAAUGUCAAAGCCAGCGUGGGGAGACCUGUCCGUCUUUCUGAUGUACACGUCCAGCCUGCAGCCUCCCACACCUCCGGGACCCCUGGGCCUCAGUUUCCCCUCCGCCGGCU